Molecule: long non-coding RNA, 549 nt
Organism: Dermacentor silvarum
Lineage: Eukaryota; Metazoa; Arthropoda; Arachnida; Ixodida; Ixodidae
Exons: 3
Source: RefSeq, a predicted model, not a curated record
CGGAGACCAUGACGCCGCCUCCACAGCUGCGCGAGCACUCGGACCAGUUGGACCAGGGACCCCAGUGACCGUCGAUGGCCUCCGGACGCUCGCCCAUCUCGGUGCACUCGCCCAGGGGGUGAACAGCAGCAGAAGGCCUAAGCUGAGCUGAUGCGGCGUUGCGUCAGAGCGACUCACGUAGCAAAAGGGGGAAAAGGCGAGGAUGUAUAGGAGAAGAAGGAUGCCGCUCACCUCGAUGCCGUCGCAGUGCUGGGCAGCGGGUCCGUACUGCAGCCGGCACUGGUGGUCGGCGUCGUACAUGGCACCCGGUGGCAGCAGCGGAAACGUGAACUGGUGCGCCCGCGGCUCAUCGUCCAGGCAGCUGCCCCAGUCUCGGCUGCGCGACGCGCACACACGAGAAGUCAACAUGCACGAUCAGUGAGACUGCGCAUUUCUCCGACGGCCACGCCAAGAAACACGGCGGCAGACCCCGUCACGACGCCAAAGAGGUGGCGACAGUGUCAAGCCGGGCUCGGACACUCACUCGAGAAAGCGCGUGAUCUCUUCUCG